RNAcentral lists this long non-coding RNA (1354 nucleotides) under Heterocephalus glaber (naked mole-rat). RNAcentral describes it as "lncRNA (ENSHGLG00100042920.1)". Lineage: Eukaryota; Metazoa; Chordata; Mammalia; Rodentia; Bathyergidae. The record is from RNAcentral.
CAGGGGAAUUUAGCCAGCUUCACUGGAAUUAGCUUUUUGCUGUCUUUCCAGAACCCUUGUGGACCAGGGCGUGAGCCCCUCUUAGUGUGAAUGUCAGAGGCUGCGGAGGAUAAGGCUGUAGGCCCUUUAUGCAGAACUGUGUCUUCAUGGGAAGAUGAAGAGGCCCAGUGACACAAAGUGACUUAUCUAUGAUGACCCACCUGCUUAGUGGAGUGAUAUUGUCAGAAAUGGGAUUCAGUUGCUUUGUUCCCAUCAUCUGCUCUUGAUGGGCUAUGAGACGUCAUUAGGUACAGGGUGUGAUGAAUAGACAAGUUCCAAAGAAGCUAGAUCAGAAUCAGAAGUUUGCCUUGGCAGUUUUGAAAGUACUGUACAAUGUAUCGUGAAGACAAUCCCAUGUCCUUGUCACCCACAGGGCCAUAAUAGAGCCACAGAUGAAAGUUGUGACUGUAGCAGAGAGAUCUCUCAACAUCCUUUGGACACUCUCAGCAAGACUGUGAAGGUUCACCUGGGAGGUCUCUAGGGGAAAAUCAACAUGCUGUGACAAAGAGACUCCGUGUGAAUUUAGUGCCUUAGCAAAGUCAGUAGGAAUCCCUUCUCCAGUUGCCUGGUGGUCCUGGAAGUAACACAAGCCGAUGAAAGAUUAGCCCCUUCUUGGGAUGAGACAACCUUGAGCGAGUUACCUGCUGGACUGAUCUCACUUGGGUUGUUUGGGUCAAAACAUCAAAAAGGCGGUAAGCUCAUAUUGCACAGUCCCUUGGGCACUGGUAAAUGCUUCCCCGUGGUUCUCCUCUUCCUCUUUCCUAUGCAUUCUUAGGUUAUAAAUUUCCCUUUUGUGAAGUGGUGUUGGCUUGAAGACUGUCCAUGGUGAUUAUUUGCAGAUGAGCUACAGAGGGAAAUGAAAUAAUCCCAAACAGGAGAUUGCUGGUGGGUGGGAAGAGAAGGUUUUAGUCCUUGCCCUUGGUCUAUGUGGGGAUUGCUCAGGGCUGGACAACACCUGUUCUCCUUGGGGAGACCCUGAAACCCAGAGCUUUUCCUCCUGAACUAGUGCCAUGACAGCUGAACCUUUGUCCAUAAGGAGCGAUUAACAUGGCAAGGGAGGCAUUUGAGUUGAAGUUUUCUUCCCGAGAAUUCCAUUUUAAGUGCUUACCAUAUUAUAAAAAGAAUAAUCAUUUUAAUAGAACAAUUAGAAUAGAAAAUUAACUAGAAUAUGUCCCUUUUCAGAUUAUAUGUCCUAUUAUAUACAUUUAACAUGUUCUUAAUAGGUCAAUCCAAAAAACAUUUAGUUUUCUUCAAUUUGACUUUAAAAAAUAUAUUUAGUUUUUAAUUGACACAUAAAAUUGUACAUACGUAUGGG